This 92-nucleotide transfer RNA is filed under the name Volvox carteri f. nagariensis. It matches the Rfam family "tRNA". From Rfam's summary of the family: Transfer RNA (tRNA) molecules are approximately 80 nucleotides in length. Their secondary structure includes four short double-helical elements and three loops (D, anti-codon, and T loops). Further hydrogen bonds mediate the characteristic L-shaped molecular structure. tRNAs have two regions of fundamental functional importance: the anti-codon, which is responsible for specific mRNA codon recognition, and the 3' end, to which the tRNAs corresponding amino acid is attached (by aminoacyl-tRNA synthetases). tRNAs cope with the degeneracy of the genetic code in two manners: having more than one tRNA (with a specific anti-codon) for a particular amino acid; and 'wobble' base-pairing, i.e. permitting non-standard base-pairing at the 3rd anti-codon position. Lineage: Eukaryota; Viridiplantae; Chlorophyta; Chlorophyceae; Chlamydomonadales; Volvocaceae. The record is from Rfam by way of RNAcentral.
CCGAUCUUAGCUCAGCUGGAAGAGCGAAGGACUGUAAUCGUAACGCUUAAAUUGCGAUCCUUAGGUCGCCUGUUCGAUCCAGGCAGAUCGGA